Molecule: ribosomal RNA, 414 nt
Filed under: uncultured microorganism
Description: bacterial SSU rRNA
Rfam family: Archaeal small subunit ribosomal RNA
Source: RNAcentral
CAGCCGCCGCGGUAAUACCGGCGGCCCGAGUGGCGGUCACUAUUAUUGGGCUUAAAGCGUCCGUAGCCGGGUUGGGAAGUCCUCCGGGAAAUCUGGCCGCUUAACGGUCAGAAUGCCGGAGGAUACUCCCAGCCUAGGGAGCGGGAGAGGCCGAGGGGAUUCCCGGAGUAGGGGGGAAAUCCUAUAAUCCCGGGAGGACCACCUGUGGCGAAGGCGCUCGGCUAGAACGCGUCCGACGGUGAGGGACGAAGGCCAGGGGAGCAAACCGGAUUAGAUACCCGGGUAGUCCUGGCUGUAAACGAUGCGGACUUUGUGUCGGACAAGCUAUGAGCUUGUCCGGUGCCGGAGGGAAACCGUUAAGUCCGCCGCCUGGGGAGUACGGCCGCAAGGCUGAAACUUAAAGGAAUUGGCGGG